CAGCUGGAUAUAACGACUGGCAAACCAGUGUUUAGAGGUGUUUUUAGCCGUUACGAGGACAAACACCGGUAUCCAGCACAUAGCCAUAGCAUGCAGCAGCCAACAUCAAAGUGGCAGACGUCGCCUCCGGCAGCAUGACUGUCUCUGCAGCCUGUGGCGCAGCCAGCAUGCACCAGGACGCUCAGCGACACCCUGGAGGACCCAGAUUUCUCCAGCAGCCUGACUGUUGCAUCGUCUGCCCAUGUGGCUACGGUCGUCGAAGAGCACCCUGUGGUUGGUUUCUCAGUCGGCUUUUCCAGUCACAUGCAGGGUGAAUACCAGGGUGUGGGUGGAUGCUCGGCGCCCACUUAAGUACAGGCACCUGACUAAGCAAGUGCGUCAGCUCUGUUGCAGUGGAUGUUUGGGGAGAGGAAUGCGGUUUCGUCGAAUAUCGAGAGUGGCUCAAGGAGUAUCGACCACCGCAGAGAUAUUGCACAGCAAUGUGGUAUCACGAGGCGCCAAUGAGACACUAAGAAGAAGCUGUGCGUCCCGUAGUUGCGAGGCGCCACCGCCACGCUUCUGCCCUGAGGCCAGGAGGGCAUUUCUGUUCAAGGUCAGAUCCUGUCCACUUCAAGAAAGUUCCUGUCGGAGUAACGUCGUUGUGCUGCCUACUCGCUGUAACACAGAUCGUAAAGAGACUUCUGUCACGUGUGAACUAUGGCUACGCCCCAACACUAACAAAACUGUGUCAACAAGUGUCUGUGGACUUGUGUUCUCUAGUGACUGUAGUGAGGGCACAUUACAGCCAUUCUGAACCUUUAUCAAUUCUCCAUUCAGUGAUCGUGGUUCAUGUAGUGCGUUCUGAACCGCAAAUCUGAUUCUGAAGUUUCAUAGCCACAGCCGUGUUUGGCGAACAAAGAGAAGUUUUGUUGUACUUAAUAAAGAAUGUUCACAAUGUUCUA
This is a long non-coding RNA of Schistocerca piceifrons (Central American locust), 941 nucleotides long. RefSeq lists it as uncharacterized. The record is from RefSeq and is a predicted model, not a curated record. Lineage: Eukaryota; Metazoa; Arthropoda; Insecta; Orthoptera; Acrididae. The transcript is spliced from 2 exons.